GGUGGCGUGGUGCAAUGGUUAGCACUGGAGACUCUGAAUCUCCCGAUCAGGGUUCGAUUCCCUGCGCGACCU
Molecule: transfer RNA, 72 nt
Organism: Gregarina niphandrodes
Lineage: Eukaryota; Apicomplexa; Conoidasida; Eugregarinorida; Gregarinidae
Rfam family: tRNA
About the family: Transfer RNA (tRNA) molecules are approximately 80 nucleotides in length. Their secondary structure includes four short double-helical elements and three loops (D, anti-codon, and T loops).
Source: Rfam